Molecule: ribosomal RNA, 339 nt
Filed under: uncultured Clostridium sp.
Lineage: Bacteria; Bacillati; Bacillota; Clostridia; Eubacteriales; Clostridiaceae
Description: bacterial SSU rRNA
Rfam family: Bacterial small subunit ribosomal RNA
Source: RNAcentral
UGGGGGAAUAUUGCACAAUGGGGGAAACCCUGAUGCAGCGACGCCGCGUGAGUGAAGAAGUAUUUCGGUAUGUAAAGCUCUAUCAGCAGGGAAGAAAAUGACGGUACCUGACUAAGAAGCCCCGGCUAACUACGUGCCAGCAGCCGCGGUAAUACGUAGGGGCAAGCGUUAUCCGGAUUUACUGGGUGUAAAGGGAGCGUAGACGGCGAUGCAAGUCUGAAGUGAAAGCCCCGGGCUCAACCUGGGUACUGCUUUGGAAACUGUAUUGCUGGAGUGCUGGAGAGGUAAGCGGAAUUCCCAGUGUAGCGGUGAAAUGCGUAGAUAUUAGGAGGAACACCA